AUUGAACGCCGGCGGUAGGCCUAACACAUGCAAGUCGAGCGGAUGAGAGGAGCUUGCUCCUCGAUUCAGCGGCGGACGGGCGAGUAAUGCCUAGGAAUCUGCCUAGUAGUGGGGGACAACGUUUAGAAAGGAACGCUAAUACCGCAUACGUCCUACGGGAGAAAGUGGGGGAUCUUCGGAUCUCACGCUAUUAGAUGAGCGCUGGUAGGAUUAGCUACUUGGUAGGGUAACGGCCUACCAAGGCGACGAUCCGUAACUGGGCUGAGAGGAUGAUCAGUCACACUGGAACGGAGACACGGUCCAGACUCCUACGGGAGGCAGCAGUGGGGAAUAUUGGACAAUGGGCGAAAGCCUGAUCCAGCCAUGCCGCGUGUGUGAAGAAGGCCCUCGGGUCGUAAAGCACUUUAAGUUGGGAGGAAGGGCUUACAGCGAAUACCUGUGAGUUUUGACGUUACCGACAGAAUAAGCACCGGCUAACUUCGUGCCAGCAGCCGCCGUAA
RNAcentral lists this ribosomal RNA (500 nucleotides) under uncultured bacterium. RNAcentral describes it as "partial 16S ribosomal RNA". It matches the Rfam family "Bacterial small subunit ribosomal RNA", at positions 30 to 523 of the family's 1533-position model. The record is from RNAcentral.